RNAcentral lists this transfer-messenger RNA (350 nucleotides) under Planctomycetota bacterium. RNAcentral's name for it is "Planctomycetes bacterium (activated sludge metagenome) transfer-messenger RNA". It matches the Rfam family "transfer-messenger RNA". From Rfam's summary of the family: Bacterial tmRNA, also known as 10Sa RNA or SsrA, is named for its dual tRNA and mRNA-like properties. Its role is to liberate the mRNA from a stalled ribosome. To accomplish this part of the tmRNA is used as a reading frame that ends in a translation stop signal. Lineage: Bacteria; Pseudomonadati; Planctomycetota. The record is from RNAcentral.
GGGGGCGAUCUGGUAUCGACCGGGCUUCAAGACGUCGAGGGUGGCGUGCAGAGAUUCCGGGAACCUCUCAAAACCCUGGAAAAACCUUUGAUUGCCAACAACAACCUGGCAUUGGCCGCUUAAGUGGCCCGCCGUCCAAGGACUUGCCCGCGAUCCUCGGACGGCGCAACGCAGCGGGCUGGUGCGUCCAAGUCCGCCUGAGCGCGGACGCACGAGAGCAUUCGGGCUGGCGCGAUCCGGAGCCUGUCGAUCGGCACCGGAGAGGGCGAGACAACAAUGAUCGACUACGCACGUAGAAGCCCCGACUGAAGGGCAGCGGGACGCGGGUUCAAUUCCCGCCGCCUCCAUUC